RNAcentral lists this ribosomal RNA (231 nucleotides) under uncultured Staphylococcus sp. RNAcentral's name for it is "partial 16S ribosomal RNA". It matches the Rfam family "Bacterial small subunit ribosomal RNA", at positions 109 to 334 of the family's 1533-position model. Lineage: Bacteria; Bacillati; Bacillota; Bacilli; Caryophanales; Staphylococcaceae. The record is from RNAcentral.
AGUAACACGUGGAUAACCUACCUAUAAGACUGGGAUAACUUCGGGAAACCGGAGCUAAUACCGGAUGAUAUUUUGAACCGCAUGGUUCAAAAGUGAAAGACGGUCUUGCUGUCACUUAUAGAUGGAUCCGCGCUGCAUUAGCUAGUUGGUAAGGUAACGGCUUACCAAGGCAACGAUGCAUAGCCGACCUUAGAGGGUGAUCGGCCACACUGGAACUGAGACACGGUCCAG